ACGAACGCUGGCGGCGUGCCUCAAACAUGCAAGUCGAGCGGGGUUCUGGAAGUGGGCGACCACGGAAGGGACCUAGCGGCGGACGGGUGAGUAACGCGUGGGUAAUCUGCCCAAGGGACCGGGAUAACACCUCGAAAGGGGUGCUAAUACCGGGUGACCCUGGUGCUCCGAGUGGGGGACCAGGGAUAGGUGGCCUCUUGACAAUGCUACUGCCCCUUGGAUGAGCCCGCGUCCCAUUAGCCAGUUGGCGGGGUAAAGGCCCACCAAGGCGACGAUGGGUAGCCG
RNAcentral lists this ribosomal RNA (285 nucleotides) under uncultured bacterium. RNAcentral describes it as "partial 16S ribosomal RNA". It matches the Rfam family "Bacterial small subunit ribosomal RNA", at positions 29 to 289 of the family's 1533-position model. The record is from RNAcentral.